Molecule: ribosomal RNA, 499 nt
Filed under: uncultured bacterium
Lineage: Bacteria
Description: partial 16S ribosomal RNA
Rfam family: Bacterial small subunit ribosomal RNA
Source: RNAcentral
GACGAACGCUGGCGGCGUGCCUAAUACAUGCAAGUCGAGCGAAGUUUUUCUGGUUCUUGCACUAGAAACACUUAGCGGCGCACGGGUGAGUAACACGUAAAGAACCUGCCUCAUAGACUGGGACAACUAUUGGAAACGAUAGCUAAUACCGGAUAACAGUAUUUCUCGCAUGAGAGAUAUUUAAAAGUUGGUUAUGCUAACACUAUGAGAUGGCUUUGCGGUGCAUUAGCUAGUUGGUGGGGUAAAGGCCCACCAAGGCGACGAUGCAUAGCCGACCUGAGAGGGUGAUCGGCCACACUGGGACUGAGACACGGCCCAGACUCCUACGGGAGGCAGCAGUAGGGAAUCUUCCGCAAUGGGCGAAAGCCUGACGGAGCAACGCCGCGUGAGUGAAGAAGGAUUUCGGUUCGUAAAGCUCUGUUGUUAGGGAAGAAUGGAUAUGUAGUAACUAUACAUGUAAGAGACGGUACCUAACCAGAAAGCCACGGCUAACUACGUG